GAAGGGGGCCUCGCGGGUCGGCUGCGAUUCUCGGCAUCUCCGCGGCCUCGGCGGGGCUCUCCGGAGACCCGGGGAGCUUCCGAUGGCCUGUCCCUGCUCAAAUGGAAAAGCUCCAGCCUGGACGGACUCCCCCCACGCCGCCUAAACUUUGCUCAAAGCGAAGGAAGCCCUCCACUCCGGGAAGCCCCCCCCGGGGGCGGAGUCGGCCCCGAGGUUCCUCCCCCGGCCGGUCCUCCCUAAAAAUCGGCCCGCAGUUACGGCGCGCCUCUGGCGCCCCCGGCGUCGCGCCGGUCCGGGAAGCUCAGUUCGCGGAGACGACGGGGGUUCGGGGUCGGGGCGCUCCCGGGGGGAGGGUGCAAAGACAUGCUGCGUGAGAGAGAGAAAAUAUGGUAAAAGAGGUACAGCAGAUCAAUUCAGAAAACCCAGAAGACUCAACAGUUGUGAAUUUGUAAGAUUGGAGAGGAAGCUAUGCCCAGCUGAGAAGAGGAAGCAAAAGAAAGGAGCAGAGAAAAGUAGUCUGUGAGAGAGCUUGGAGUAAAGCCAGGAGGGACUGCAAAAACACAAGGAAGGCCAUUUUUGAACCGGACGCUCAAGUGACUAAAGAGUCAGAAGCACUUGUUUGAGGAUGCAAGGGGUGGGAGUAGGUUUUUGUGCUUGUUUGAGAAAGCAGAGAAACAUUUCAGAGCCUAAUAAAUUGGGAUCUAGGUGAAAA
Sarcophilus harrisii (Tasmanian devil) is the source of this 712-nucleotide long non-coding RNA. RefSeq lists it as uncharacterized. The record is from RefSeq and is a predicted model, not a curated record. Lineage: Eukaryota; Metazoa; Chordata; Mammalia; Dasyuromorphia; Dasyuridae. The transcript is spliced from 2 exons.